Molecule: long non-coding RNA, 2690 nt
Organism: Phascolarctos cinereus (koala)
Lineage: Eukaryota; Metazoa; Chordata; Mammalia; Diprotodontia; Phascolarctidae
Source: RefSeq, a predicted model, not a curated record
CCAGAGCCGGAGCAGAAGCAGGAGUAAGCUGAGGCAGCAGCCACAGAAGGGGACUACACCCCCAUCCCUGGCCUAGCCUGAGCCUAUCACUGGAGCUUCAGGGAUUCCCAGGUUUUGGAGAGGCCUCAUCCCUGCCUUGUACCUGACAACUCUGUUGAGGAGCACCUCUACUAAUGAGCAUUGAUCACCCAUGCAACUUUUCCAGUGCCGACUAUCGAUGCAAUGUGCUCAGCCUGCAGGCCCCAGUGAUCGUCAUUCCGGUGUUGCUCUCCUCCUCCACACUGCUUGUGAUUGGCUGCAUUGUCUGGAAGACAUGCCGGAGGUUGAGGACUGCCAGACAGGGCUCCCCAUCCCAGUGACAGGUGCCUGAGAUGAGAGCUCGGUGCUUCCUUGGGACCAUCUUCCUGCUUCCUGCUUAGCUUGGGCCUGUCUACCACCCAUCACUACAUGAGGGGAGCAGGAACCAUAGCAGCAGCACCUCCUUCUACUGGGACUAAUAGCCCAAACAUGAACCAGCAGGUAGAGACACAGUCCUGAAGAGUCAGCAGCUGCCACCAUCUUCGUUUUCUGCCUGGGGUGGGCAAGGCAAGAAGUUGUAAACAGCAGCCUAAAGACUGUUUUCCAUUCAUUCAUUCAUUCAUUCAUUCAUUCAUUCAUUUGACAAAUAUUUACUGAACAAGAUGGUCCAUAGACAUAUAUAUAUACACACAUAUAUAUAUAUCAGGCUUUCAACAAAUAUUUGUUGAGUUAAUGAAGGAUGCUAAACCAGCUUCUGAGUCUUUUCUAUUACCAUCUAACACUCACAUACUUCUCCAUCCUCUCUGCAAUUUUCCCCUAGAGUGAUGAGGGUCUCAAGCCAAGGACAUGUACCUUAUAGCCAAGAGGUGCUCUAUAAAUGAAUUCAUUUUCUCAGCAAAAAUGGAUUUAGUGCCAACCAUGUAAGGAGAGGCAAUGUGGCAUAGCAUAAGGUGGCCUAGUCUUGAAGUCUCUGUUUCCAAUCGCCAUUAAUCAUUUCUAUUCUGUGCUUCCUAGUUAGAAGAGUUGAGUAGUUCUGAUUCUACCUGGGUGCAUGGAGGUCCUGUCCUUUCCUUGGUUGUCUCUUGUUCCCAACACAACCCCUUUUGAUUACUGUCAUCAGCUAAUGAUUGGAUUCAACAUUUUGUCAGGAAGGUGUCACUCUUGUGUUUUCAACCUGUUAUUGGUCUUUGCUUUCCUUUUACAUACGCCUUAUUUGUAAAUUUAAAUUGAUCAAUAAAUUUCUAGUGCACCCCCCUCUGUCUUUUUAAACACUUCUCCCUUUCCUUCCUCAUCAGAACCAUGUGUUUCAUUAGAAUGUUAUUUUUAACAAAGGGUCUUCCAACCAAGUCUCCCUUGGGCUGACUUCCCUUGUAACAUUUUAGGCCUUGAGAGCCUUUCUCUGAACUUUUAACAAUUAACCAUCCUAAAGCCUAAGGUUCAUAGUCCCCUAUCCUCCUUCCAAAAUAAGCUUCCUAAGGCACAAGUCUGAUCACAUCAUUCCCCUGCUCCUAAGUAUUCAUUCAGUGGAUCCCUAGAAUUAAAUAUGAACUUCCCCAGCUUUCCCGUCUUACGUCCCUACCCCAUUGCCAGUACCCUAGCCCACUUCAAACUGCUUUGUAAUACUUAUCUGUGUAUGCAUUGUAUUCCUCCAUAGACUGUAAGCUUCCAUGUUUCAUGUUUGUCUUUAUCUCACCAACACCUAACAGAGGGAUUUGCUGCAGCUUAAGAAUUCACUGACCCAUAAGUUUUCAUUCUCAGAAGACCUCAGGACUUCACCCUUUAACUUGCAUUCUUUAUAAAACUUCCCUUGCUCUGUGAACCCCAACUUGAAGGACCAAGCUUCCUGGACUUUCCCAGCACCUCAGCAGGUUUGUCUUCCUAAGAUCCCAGACCUACAUCAUGUAGACCUCAAUUACCUCUCCCCGGCUUCUGCCACAGACACCCUUCAGGUUCCCUUUCCCAGCAUCCAGUCUUUGCUUUCCCUUCAAUGCACACCUGAACAUUCCAAACCACGAGUGCAUUUUACAGAGUUUAUUAACCAAAGAAUAUAUACAAAUUCAGAAAUCCUACAUCUGGAUAGGAGAACUAGAAGUGAGCAUACAAGAAAUCUCCCCAUUGCUAUACUAGGUGGUCCUGUGUUUGAACAACCUGGGUUCUCUGGACUGACCUCAUAAACCUUAGCUAAGAGCCACCUGAACCUAACCCCACCAAGGGACUAACAAUAAAAAAACAGAUAAGUGGAUCAUUUCCACAAUUCUUAAAAUCAAGAUUCAACCCAACUGGUCACCCCCAAAAAAAAUUCACAAAAGAUGCCCAUACUGUACAGGCAUAUUCUUUGUUCCCUACUAACAACCAGAACAUACAGUCUCUUGCCUCUCUGAUCAAAAUUUCCCGUCCUUCAACCUCUUCUGCUAUCUCAUUCCAUUUAAACCUGUCCUUUACCUUCAUUAUAACGUCUAAUUUCUCAAUUCCUUCCUUAGCUACUAGUCAAAUCCCCUGCUCUAGCUUGACUUCCCUCCUUUCACUGUUUUGAACUGCAAUUAGCCAUUUCCACAAGGCACUACCCAUCUUAUAUCAAGCAGUAGUUCCCACCUAAGCCUCAGCCUUGGGACAGCUAGGUGGCAAAGCGGACCAAGUGCUGGGCCUGGAGUCAGAAAGACUUGAGUUCAAAU